GCCUCUAUGGCGCAGUGGUAACGCGUCGCACUUGUAAUGCGAAGAUCCCCCGUUCGAACCGAGGUGGAGGCA
This 72-nucleotide transfer RNA is filed under the name Hapsidospora chrysogenum ATCC 11550. Its description in RNAcentral is "Acremonium chrysogenum ATCC 11550 tRNA". It matches the Rfam family "tRNA". Rfam says of the family: Transfer RNA (tRNA) molecules are approximately 80 nucleotides in length. Their secondary structure includes four short double-helical elements and three loops (D, anti-codon, and T loops). Lineage: Eukaryota; Fungi; Ascomycota; Sordariomycetes; Hypocreales; Bionectriaceae. The record is from Rfam by way of RNAcentral.